GACGAACGCUGGCGGCGUGCUUAACACAUGCAAGUCGAACGGGCCUUGUCCCCUUUUUUUUGGGGGUGGGGUUAGUGGCGAACGGGUGAGUAACACGUGAGUAACCUGCCCCUCACUUCUGGAUAACCGCUUGAAAGGGUGGCUAAUACGGGGUGUUCUGGCCUGCUCGCAUGGGUGGGUUUGGAAAGAUUCGACCGGUUUUGGUUGUUUUGGUGGGGGAUGGGCUCGCGGCCUAUCAGCUUGUUGGUGGGGUGAUGGCCUGCCAAGGCUUUGACGGGUAGCCGGCCUGAGAGGGUGGGCGGUCACACUGGGACUGAGACACGGCCCAGACUCCUACGGGAGGCAGCAGUGGGGAAUAUUGCACAAUGGGCGCAAGCCUGAUGCAGCGACGCCGCGUGAGGGAUGGAGGCCUUCGGGUUGUGAACCUCUUUCGCCAGUGAAGAAGGUCCUGCUCUUUGUGGUGGGAUUGACGGUAGCUGGGUUAAUGAAGCGCCGGCUAACUACGUG
This 507-nucleotide ribosomal RNA is filed under the name uncultured bacterium. RNAcentral's name for it is "partial 16S ribosomal RNA". It matches the Rfam family "Bacterial small subunit ribosomal RNA", at positions 28 to 507 of the family's 1533-position model. The record is from RNAcentral.